GGGAACUUGCUUAGCGAUCCAAAGUUAGACCCCUGUAUAACGAAUAGUCCCUAUUGACUGUGCUCUUAAUAAGCGGUCCAUUGACAUAUGAAAUCUCAUAAGGAGACCAAAAUACCCCUAACCUUUUUCCUCUUCCGUCGUUCCUCGUAUGCUAUGUGUUCAUUUGAACGAGCCCUAUUCAAAGUUCACCAAUUCCAGCCCUCGUUCGUCCCCAAUCUUCGUAUCCUAAUCCUCUCUUACGACGG
This 245-nucleotide long non-coding RNA is filed under the name Phoenix dactylifera (date palm). Its description in RNAcentral is "long non-coding RNA (PDAC_LNC014308)". The record is from RNAcentral. Lineage: Eukaryota; Viridiplantae; Streptophyta; Magnoliopsida; Arecales; Arecaceae.